Molecule: ribosomal RNA, 465 nt
Filed under: Vreelandella stevensii
Lineage: Bacteria; Pseudomonadati; Pseudomonadota; Gammaproteobacteria; Oceanospirillales; Halomonadaceae
Description: partial 16S ribosomal RNA
Rfam family: Bacterial small subunit ribosomal RNA
Source: RNAcentral
CCUACGGGGGGCUGCAGUGGGGAAUAUUGGACAAUAGGGGGAACCCUGAUCCAGCCAUGCCGCGUGUGUGAAGAAGGCCCUCGGGUUGUAAAGCACUUUCAGUGAGGAAGAACGCCUGGUGGUUAAUACCCAUCAGGAAAGACAUCACUCACAGAAGAAGCACCGGCUAACUCCGUACCAGCAGCCGCGGUAAUACGGAGGGUGCGAGCGUUAAUCGGAAUUACUGGGCGUAAAGCGCGCGUAGGUGGCUUGAUAAGCCGGUUGUGAAAGCCCCGGGCUCAACCUGGGAACGGCAUCCGGAACUGUCAAGCUAGAGUGCAGGAGAGGAAGGUAGAAUUCCCGGUGUAGCGGUGAAAUGCGUAGAGAUCGGGAGGAAUACCAGUGGCGAAGGCGGCCUUCUGGACUGACACUGACACUGAGGUGCGAAAGCGUGGGUAGCAAACAGGAUUAGAUACCCUUGUAGUC